Non-coding RNA from Paramuricea clavata, 448 nucleotides. NCBI's taxonomy places the organism in Eukaryota, Metazoa, Cnidaria, Anthozoa, Malacalcyonacea, Plexauridae. The record is from the annotation of a GenBank genome assembly.
CCCUCCUUCCUCUUUCUCCCUCCUUUCUUUCAUCAUAUUCUUUUUUUUCCCACCUCUCUCCUACCAUCCACUCCUCCUUUCUUUCUUUCCUUCCUCUGUUUCCUCUCCGUUCAUCCUAUUCUUUCUUUCCCCAACCUUCCUCCUCCCAUUUCCUCCUUUCUUUCCUUCCUCUUCCCCCCUCCUAGUUUUUGUCAUCCCACUCCUCCCUUCAUUCUAUCUUCCUCCCCCCCUUCUUUCAUCCUAUUCUUUCUCCCACCUCCCUCCCUUCCUUUCUGUUAUCCCAUUCCUUCUUAUCUUCUCUUCCUUCCUCCCUCUCCCUUCAUUUCUUCCUAUCUUGCCUGUAUCCUUCUGUCAACAUUUCUCCCAUCUUUCAUUCUUCCUUUCUCUUAUUCUUCUGCAUUCCUCCCUUUCCAUUUCUCACAGAUCUCUUCCCUCCGCAUCAAUUUCA